GGCGUGAAUUAGUAGUAGAGACCCUGGCAGAGGAACUAGCGUGGAUGCCACGUCUAUGGUCAUGGCUAUGCUCUAGCAUGGUCCCUAGGCGCCUAGAGGUCCCGCAAGGGAAUUUUGUACCAUAUUUGGCUCUGUGAUUUGGUCGCAAGCCUGCUCCUGCGGCGUUCACUUCUUGUUUCGGGCGAUUGCGUUUCUUCUGUGAAAGCACGACUAAACGCUGGUUGUCGCUGGUUCCAACGGCUGUAGCCCUUUGCUGGCAUAUGGAAUGUCGUCUUCGAUACGCAAGAAAUUAAGGGCCUCCAAGCCAGUGGUAGUGCCUCCGAAAUCUUCCAAGACAAGCAAGAAGACAAAAUCACUCAGGUUGCCCACAACCAAGCCUGGCAGAAAGUCCACUGAGGAGGGACCUUCUAAAUCUGAAAAUGACAAACUUCCCUUGCAAAGGACGCUGACGAUGACUGGCAAGGCCCGCACAUGGUCUGCUGCUGAACUCCCCACCAGUGAUUCAGAGGCGUCAGACAUUCUUGACAACCCUCAUCACAGCGAGGGGACAAGCUCAGAGUCGCAGCCAUUGAUCGAAGGCACGGCAAAGAAGUCACCACAGCCAUCCACCAGUAAGCCAAGCACUCAAGCCAGCAGCAGUAGCAAGCGGCCAGCACAGCCUUCCAAAAAAAAUGUAAAGAAGGCCGGGGGUGGCAAAUUACUUCGGCAACCAAAAGUGGGAAAAAAGUCUCGGAAUAAUCCUGUGCAACGCAAGAACAGCUGCGGAAAAACCCCAUUAAGCAGUGCCAAGCUGAUGGAUGCUGCAGUCAGCUCGAAUACUGUUCCACUGGUGAAGAAAGCAGAUGUUAUGCAGAGUGAGCCUACAGACGUGAAUGUGAAAGCAUUUCCAGUCCUUCAGCCUGACAGGCCUGUGAGGCUUCCCUUGGUGAAAGAAGGCAGCCCUUACAAGUGUAGUGUCCGAGGAUGUCCCUCAAGCACUGGCCAGUGCUCCAUUGGUCUCUGGUUGUUUGCGCUGCCUAGCGAAGAAACCAGUGCACAACUGCGCUCUGCUUGGCUGGAGAAUGUUUCCAUCGAUCCAGAGAUCAACAGACCACGAAGUCCCCGCGUGUGCUUUCAGCACUUUGCGAAGGACGACUAUGUGUCAAACAAGAACCGCCUUAUGGGCCUUAAUGCAAAGGCUGUACCUUCAGUAGGCAUUCCGAAACAAGCGUUCAGAACCGGGACAUCCAACUUUCUUGUAAACAAAUGGGGUGCAUAUGCUGAGCCUACGUCAAAUGCUGGCUCUAAGUCUAGGUCAGCAGCAUGCAACAGCUCAGCAGACUUGACUAUGCUGUCUGGUCCUGCCAACUCCGCCGCUGGUAUAGGGUCAGGUGCAGGAAUAGAACAUGGCUCAGCAUCAGAAACUCAGAUCAAACCCACUGUUAGCAUUGGAACAGGUGCAGCAAUAGGCAGUGGUAGUUUGAAUGAGGCAUUUGAGUCAGAAGCCACAGAUGGUGCCAGAAUAACCUCAAAGCAAGAUGGCCAGUCAAAAUCUGCAUUUGUCAGCAAGAUAGUUUCAACACCUAGCAAAAGUUCAACAACGAAGGUUCACUUAGUAUCCAUACAUAAGGCAAAAAGAGGCCCAGCAGCGGACACUUCAAAUGUAGCUAGGACUUCAGUAUUCGCAGGAGGUAACGAAACUGAUUCACUAGUGAGUGGUGCUGCUUUGUUGCAAAGUACAAAGCCAAGUACAGUUACACAGCCAAAAGCCACUCAUGGUGCCAAAACAGCUCCAACAAAAAACAGUGGCUCAGUACAUAAGGGCCAGUCGAAAUCUGCAGUUGAUAGCAGGAUGGUUUCAAUGAGAAGCAAGUCUACACUUGAGACCAAAGCAGGUCAAAUAUCAAUCAAGACUUUAAAAAAAGGUAUUGGUUCAGUACCUGCAGUUGCCUGUGAAACAAGUUCAACAGGGGAGACCAGUUCAGUUUCAUCAAGCCACUCUGAAUCUGCAGUCGCAGCAGGUUCAACAGACAGCAGUUCAAAUUCAGCACAUCAUUUGAAAUGUCAGGUUAGGCCAGAAACAGGUCCAAUCUCGGAGUGUGUGUCAAAGCCAGGGGACCACUCAAUAGCUGUUACCAGAACAGAAUCAGUCACAAGCAAGCCAGGUUCAAGAAGCGAUUUAGGGCCUGUAACUGUGAAUGUGCCAGCAUCAACACUAAACAUCUCAAAGCCAGCGACUACAACAGUGCCAAAUGGUAGCAUGGUUGUAACCUUGGAAAAUGAGCCCUGGACAUCGGAGCUCACUGGUGUGGAAGCAAGCAACCAAGAUUCAACAAGUCCUUCAGGACCCAUAAAUGCCACUGAGUCAGAGUCAAUACCAAACAACUCCAAGCCAGUGACUACAACAGUGCUAAAUGGUAGCACGUUCGUAACCUUCGAAAAGGAGCCCUGGGCAUCAGCACUCUCUGUUGUGGACAAGCCAUUGAUGGAAACACCAAGAGCUGAGUGUUCAUCCAACACAAGCAGCUUGUCAGCAGUGGAACGCAUCUCAAAGGUAGUAGUGAAGCAAGAACUUGUUGAAGAGACUGAGCUUUUCCCAAAAGACCUUUAUGGCAGUGUCGCUCUAGACGUGUCACCGAACAAUUGCAGAUUGCAUGUGGAACAAAAAGACAGUACAGUACACAGGAGCUCAGAUGUGUGCUUGUUGCCUCCAUCUGAUGUAUUGGUUCAUGCUUCUUUGUGUAUGCCUUUCUGCAUGCCUUUCACAGGCAGGUCUUGUAAUGCAGAAGCAGCCGGUGCCUAUCAAUCUUCUGCUUUAAGUGAUUCCAGUGGCACCACUAGUUCCACUGGUGCGCCAUCUGGGCAUUGCAGAAGCGGUAACCCUUCCUAUUCUGUAAUGAACUUGUGGGACAGCAGCCAGAGCUCAGCACUAUCACUUCAGCACACUGAAGUAUUGCCUGGAAAAGCCAUUGCAUCAACAAAUACUAAGAGCAGCUUGUCUCAAAAUGCCAAUGAACUGACUCUUGGACAUGCUGCUGCAUCACUUUCUUCAGUAUUACACAUGUCUAGCAGACAGAGGGGGAAUGUAGCCAAUUGUCAUGGUGCACAUGAUGAUGAAGCUGGUGCAUGUAGUCAAGCUGGCCACACUUCUGGUUCCAAAGCUGACUUUGCUUUUAGUGGCCAACAGAGCACCUCAAGGUAUAAUAUUGUUGACAUCACUCGGGAGUCUGGGACUGGGGUUAUUCAACCUGAGUUGCCUGCUCAACAAGUAGUUCCAUUCCAGGCACCAAGUCAAGGUGGAUACGUGCCGCAUUUGAAAAGUGACAGCGCGUGCAGCAGUAUUUCUAAUCCUUCCAAUGCAUGUAAUAAAUGGGAUGGCGGUCUUCAGAGUGAGGGAAGCAGUGAUGAGUGGAUGCCGUUUGAUCCUGCCCAUGGAAAGUAUGUCAUAGAAAAGGAGUGCUUAGGAGAGAGAGAUGAUUCUGGAUUGAGUGCUGUUUACUGUACAGUGGUGUGGGUCCCUACAUCUGGAGAUAAUGGCAAGAGCAGUGGUGGCCCUCAAAGUACCCGCUAACAAGAAGACUGACCAUAACUGAACUCCAGCAACAAGAAAGCUUUAGUCUGUGAUAUUUAAGUAACAUAUAAGAGUGCAGUAUGAUGCAUUUCUGAGGCUGUCACACUAAGGUAAUCAUGAUUUUAUUUUAUUAUAUUUAUUUAAAUAUGUUGUCCGCUCUCUCUCGUGCCAAAAUAUGUGUCUUGCAAUAAACAUUGUGUACGUCUGA
Long non-coding RNA from Dermacentor albipictus, 3758 nucleotides. RefSeq lists it as uncharacterized. NCBI's taxonomy places the organism in Eukaryota, Metazoa, Arthropoda, Arachnida, Ixodida, Ixodidae. The record is from RefSeq and is a predicted model, not a curated record.